RNAcentral lists this non-coding RNA (24 nucleotides) under Arabidopsis thaliana (thale cress). Lineage: Eukaryota; Viridiplantae; Streptophyta; Magnoliopsida; Brassicales; Brassicaceae. The record is from RNAcentral.
GUGUCUUACAAUAAUUGGGUACGC